Molecule: ribosomal RNA, 253 nt
Filed under: uncultured bacterium
Lineage: Bacteria
Description: partial 16S ribosomal RNA
Rfam family: Bacterial small subunit ribosomal RNA
Source: RNAcentral
UACAGAGGGGGCAAGCGUUAUUCGGAAUUAUUGGGCGUAAAGGGCGCGUAGGCGGCUUGGCAAGUGGAUGGUGAAAUCCCUCGGCUUAACCGAGGAACUGCCGUCCAAACUGCUUCGCUUGAGACCAGGAGAGGUGAGUGGAAUUCCCAGUGUAGCGGUGAAAUGCGUAGAUAUUGGGAGGAACACCAGUGGCGAAGGCGGCUCACUGGACUGGUACUGACGCUGAUGCGCGAAAGCUAGGGGAGCAAACAGG